ACGGGAGGCAGCAGUGGGGAAUUUUGCGCAAUGGGCGAAAGCCUGACGCAGCAACGCCGCGUGCGGGACGAAGGCCUUCGGGUCGUAAACCGCUUUCAGGGGGGAAGAAACUGACGGUACCCCCAGAAGAAGCCCCGGCUAACUACGUGCCAGCAGCCGCGGUAAUACGUAGGGGGCGAGCGUUAUCCGGAUUCAUUGGGCGUAAAGCGCGCGUAGGCGGCUCGCUAAGCGGGACCUCUAAUCUUGGGGCUCAACCCCAAGCCGGGUCCCGAACUGGCGGGCUCGAGUGCGGUAGGGGCAGGCGGAAUUCCCGGUGUAGCGGUGAAAUGCGCAGAUAUCGGGAAGAACACCGAUGGCGAAGGCAGCCUGCUGGGCCGUCACUGACGCUGAGGCGCGAAAGCUGGGGGAGCGAACAGGAUUAGAUACCCUGGUA
This 433-nucleotide ribosomal RNA is filed under the name uncultured Coriobacteriaceae bacterium. Its description in RNAcentral is "bacterial SSU rRNA". It matches the Rfam family "Bacterial small subunit ribosomal RNA", at positions 341 to 792 of the family's 1533-position model. RNAcentral also lists the same sequence under 1 other name. Lineage: Bacteria; Bacillati; Actinomycetota; Coriobacteriia; Coriobacteriales; Coriobacteriaceae. The record is from RNAcentral.